AAUAAUGCCUCGCAGAAGUUUAUGGGGCUGCCCUCUUUGAGACACAUGGUCAGUUGCCUUAGUUUUCUCGACAUUCCAUGCUUAUCUAUCAACUUCCCAGAAGUAUAAUAUUUUAAGUAGAAAUAGUUCAGUCCUGGUGAGCUAUUCUGGGAGAAAGAGGACAAGCUGCUUGUUCUCAGUGCAAUGCACCCUCUUGCUUCUCUGUCGUGGCCCCAUGGUCGUCUAGGUGUGGGAACGAGGGAAAUAAGAAAGGGUUACAUUUUGCUUACUGAACACCAGCAAGAUAAACACUUCCAAGGCCUCGCUUCUGUUAUUUGUUGCUGUCAGCAGCCUUCUGAGAUGGCACACCAUGAUACCUGCUCCCUCAUCUUCACGCCUUGCUUAAUCACAUCCUGUUGAGAGUGGGCUGGAAAGAGCAAGUGGCUUCUGAGGAAUGGAGCACUGCCAAGUGUUGGGAUGACGCUACUGAGACUAAGCCACAAAGACUCUAACUUUAUGGUCUUCUUUCUCUUUCUGGGCCUCCUCACCUGUUUUCAUGAAGGAAGUUGUGAGCUGCCCCAUGGAGAGGCCUAUAUGACAGAGAACUGGUCAACAGCCAACAAAGAAUGGAGGGCCUCCGUGCAGCAGCCCAUGAGGAUCUGAAUCCCACCAAUCACCUUGCAAGGGAGCUUGGAAAAGGAUCCACCUAGGCUUGACACGACUGAUGUCCCGGCUGACUACAGGCUCAUAAGAGGGCUCAGCUAAGCAAUGCCAAAAUUCCUCACCCACAGAAACUGUGAGCCUUGUGAAGAAGGUGCCUUGCUUCCCUUUCACCUUCCACCAUGAUUGUAAGUUUCCUGAGGCCUCCCCAGCCAUGUGAAACUCUGCAGUUGUCUGCAGGUAACUGAAACUGCAGACAGAGAAACUGUGGAUAAGGCGACUGCUGUAAUGCAUUCACUAUACUUCAUCUCUGAAUGUGAGCAACUCCAGAAAACUACUUGGCCAGAAAUGGGGUUCCACUAUGUUGCCCAAGCUUUGAACUCCCAGACUGAAGAGAUCCUCCUACCUUCGCCUCCCAAAAUGCUGGGAUUAAGGGCACAAGCCACUGUGCCCUGCCUCCUACAAUAUUUUGACAGACAUCAAAUAGCUGCACUCUUUCUGAACAAGCCUGAAUGUAACCUCUUAUUUUCUUCUCAACUAUGGUAGUUCAGGUCACUAUACUAAUUAAUCAGCAUUGUUACCAUUUGUGACAGACUCAACAGUAUCCAGAGUAGAGCAAAUUAUCAUUGAAAGCACUUUUGAAAAAUGGAAUUGGGAACUGGUAGUAUUUAGCAAAGAAUGACAGUAUCCAACAGAACACGGGAGCUCUCUUCAAAUAUUUAAAGGAGUGGUGUAUGGAAGAGGAAGUAGAUUCACUAUUUGUUACAGCUCUUGAAGUCAAAACAAAGAAGAAGGCAGAGAAUUGCAGGAUCUCUGCUUAUAAUAGAAAAUGUCAAUUAGUGAAAUAAGUGCUCUUAAAAUGCUAUAGUUACUCUCAACCCCUAGAACUAUGCAAAAGUGGCUGAGGUAUUAAUCAUUGAGAAGACUUUGGUAACAGUGAAAUAGGUGACCAAUAAAUUAGUACCCAGAGGCUAAAUUAUGACAUUAAAACACCCUCGGAUUUUCAUAAAAAUAAUUAUUUUGCCACCAUUUGUACCAGAUUAUGUCUGAUUGUAUUCAAAUAUUUUAUGCAAAUAUUUCAGCACAGCAUAAUUACUGAGUUUGAUUUGUAGACAUGAUUUAUAUAUUCAAAGAAGACUGUGGACAUCUCUCUUGUUGAAAGCUCUUUGGGCAAAAACUAAAGUGGCCUUAGACUCAACGUGCUCUGCAAUAUUAUCUGCAUUAAUUUUGAAUGUCACAAACAAUUAGAAGCAUUGUUAGAGAUAAAAGUAUUUAUCAUCAUGUAUGUCAAUGUAUUCUCUUAAUAAGUUAAUAGAUGGAGAUCAUCAUUCUAGAUUUACUUUUAUCUUCAUUUUGACAUCUGAGGAAUUAUGGUAAUGUUAUGUCAGAAAGUAUGAAUAAAUGCUUGGAAAGUGUCAAAAUUACACAGGUGCCAUUUUGAAAGGGGUAACUUCAGAAAAGUGCACUUGUAAUAUCCAGGAAUUCAUACGGAUAGUGAAUAGAAUGAUAGAAGACAAUGCAAAGCACUUCCUCACAGAUAGCCAAGUGAGAAACACAUAAAGAAUGAUGGAGUUGGGAAAUCUUUGUAUUGUAACCACCAUAUUGGCAUCAAGGCCAACUAGAUGACAAAAUUAAUUUGAUGAACAAGAUAUGAUAUAUACAUAGUCUGAAAUAGCCCAUUGAUUUCUUAUCAAUACCACAUGUCUUAUAAAUUGCAAAGGUAAAAUUAAUAACUUUGUACGGGGAUAUCCAAGAGACACCAUUUUAACCAAGUGAUGAAGUUUAUCAUCACCAAUAAUGAGACAGAGGCAUCAUGUGCAUCUAGACAUAAGGUACUAGAGAAAACACACCUCAUUUUGAUGGUACUCCUGCCAAAAAUAAAUAAAUUGAAUCCAGUUAUCAGGAAUCAUUAAACCAGCUCAUAUCGAAGGAUGUUCAACAAAAUAACUGGCCUGUCUUCAGAUAUAUCAGCUUCAUGAACAAACAAGAAACAGAGAAUGUUCCAGACUGAAGGAAAGUAAAGUUACCAGACAAUGUGAUGUCAUUCAUGAUUGUGAAUUGGAUACUGGACCAGAAAAAAAUAUAGCUAAAAAAGACAGUAUAGCAAUAAUGAAGAAAUUUUCAGUAUCACUGUGAAUUAGAUAGUACUGCGCCAAUGUUAUCAAUGAUACCAAUACUAUCAAUGAAUUAGAUAGUAUUGUACCAAUGUUAAAUGUCUUGAUUUUGUUAAUUGUAUCAGGUUCGUGCAGUUUUUAUCUUUGGGAAAUUCAUACCAAAAUAUUUGGUGUUAGGUGAAUAUGAUAUCUACAACUUAAUUUCAAGUAGUUCAGAAAAGUAUAUGCAUAUAUAGAUAUACAUAUAUAGAUAUAUAGAAUUGUGUGUGUUAUGUGUGUAUUUGUGUGCAUGAAAACACUUAGGGGAGAGAAGACAGAUAGAUGAUAGGUAGAUAGGUAGCUAGAGAGAGAGAGAGACAGACAGAUAGACAGACAGAAAGACAGACAGACAGACUGAAAGGUAGACAGGCAGAUAGAAAGACAGGUAGGUAGGUAGGUAGGUAGAUAGAUAGAUAGAUAGAUAGAUGAUAGAUAGAUAGAUAGAUAGAUAGAUAGCCAGCCAGCCAGUCAGACAAAUAGACAGAUAGGCAGACAGAUAGACAGAUAGAUAGACAGAUAGACAGAAAGAUAGUUAGACAGACAGAUCCACAGAUAGAUAGACAAACGAUAGCCAGCCAGCAAGCCAGCCAGACAGACAAAUAGAGAGACAGACAGAUAGAUAGACAGAGAGACAGAUAGACAGAUAUAGAUAGAUAGAUAGAUACAAAUAGAUGGAUAGGUAGAUGAUAGAUAGAUAGAUAGAUAGAUAGAUAGAUAGAUAGAUAGAUAGACAGUCAGAUAGAGCAAAGCAGUUGGGCGCAAUGGUUCACACCUAUAAUCCCAGCACUUUGGGAGGCUGAGGCGGGCGGACCUGAGGUCGGGAGUUCAAGACCAGUCUGGCCAACAUGGCGAAACCCCGUCUCUACUAGAAAUAUAAAAAUUAGCCAGGUGUGGUGGCGGGUGCCUGUAAUCCCAGCUACUUGGGAGGCUGAGGCAGGGAGAACUGCUUGAACCAGGGAGGCAGAGGUUGCAGUGAGCCAAGACUGUGCCACUGCACUCCAGCCUGAGUGAGACUCUGUCAAAAAACAAAACAAAACAAAACAAAAAACCACAAUAACAUAGAUAGAGCAAAGCCACUGUGGGAAAUUUUUAACAUGUCCUAAAUCUGGUUGAAUGUUUACAGCAAAUUUUAUACUGUACUUUGAUAUUUUCUGUGUGCUUGAAAAUAUAUAAAAUAAAAAUUUAUAAAAAUAAAAAGAGAACCAGAAACGAAAGUUGGAAUAAUCAAAAAUAAAUCUAAACAAUGAUGCAUCUCUGGGUAAUCAGUUGUUUUUUUUAGCUCAUUCUGAUGAAAUUUUUGGCUGAAUUGACUUCAGCAGUGGAUCUCACUUUCUGAAAGAUUUGUGCUGUCCUGUUAGGCUAUCUGAUACACAGGACUCAGUUUGUGGGAAACAGAAAUGAAGUACAGUAACUUAUGGUAAAUAUUUAACAAGAAUACAGCUCAGUACCCUGCAGCAUGAACUGCAGGGAAACUUACCUUAAGCAGAACCAUACCUAACAAUAUUUAGGUUUCUUAAGCUGUUUGGGAUUACACCACUUGUGCCUGCAUAAUGUCUAGGAUGCCUUCUUAACAGCAAUUGCAAUUUUUUUUGC
RNAcentral lists this long non-coding RNA (4385 nucleotides) under Homo sapiens (human). RNAcentral's name for it is "HSALNT0406930". Lineage: Eukaryota; Metazoa; Chordata; Mammalia; Primates; Hominidae. The record is from RNAcentral.